This 250-nucleotide ribosomal RNA is filed under the name uncultured bacterium. Its description in RNAcentral is "partial 16S ribosomal RNA". It matches the Rfam family "Bacterial small subunit ribosomal RNA", at positions 524 to 773 of the family's 1533-position model. The record is from RNAcentral.
UACAGAGGUCCCGAGCGUUGUUCGGAUUCACUGGGCGUAAAGGGUGCGUAGGCGGCUUUGCAAGUCUGAUGUGAAAUCUCCGGGCUCAACCCGGAAAUGGCAUUAGAAACUGUGAGGCUGGAGGCUUGGAGGGGGAACUGGAAUACUUGGUGUAGCAGUGAAAUGCGUAGAUAUCAAGUGGAACACCAGUGGCGAAGGCGAGUUCCUGGACAAGUCCUGACGCUGAGGCACGAAAGCUAGGGGAGCAAAC